AACAGUUGAGAUCAUAAACAUGAUGAUUGGACUUUCACACUAAUAUGUGAGAUGUGUCUCCUUCAAACCUUGUUAUAACAUUGGCACAUUACUCAUUGGAUG
Small nucleolar RNA from Otolemur garnettii (small-eared galago), 102 nucleotides. The record is from Ensembl. NCBI's taxonomy places the organism in Eukaryota, Metazoa, Chordata, Mammalia, Primates, Galagidae.